Small nucleolar RNA from Pteropus vampyrus (large flying fox), 140 nucleotides. Ensembl annotates it as small Cajal body-specific RNA 3. Its record names the gene SCARNA3. Lineage: Eukaryota; Metazoa; Chordata; Mammalia; Chiroptera; Pteropodidae. The record is from Ensembl.
AAUGGAACCUGCAGGAACCAACCACGUGGACAAAUGAAAAACGCCUUCUGUCUACAAAUUGCAGUGACCCUCCAUAAACAUGGAGGGCUCUGUCUGGCUUAAGACAGCCGACCGUGUCUGAUCGUCCCUCUCCACACGGC